GUGAGUGUACUUCUCAGUAGCAACUUUUCUCCCUGAAAAAUAAUUUUGUAUUUGUCAGACAACAUGGACACUUGCUAAAUAUUCCAAAAAAAACCCGACUGCACUGUCCACAAGCAUCCUCUAUGCUUUCUUUCGGGGCCAGUAACCUGAUCACUGUUGUUGUUUUUUUUCUCUUAUUGCAGAGCAAUUUGAAAGCCCAGUCUCAACCCUGUCCUGUUGAAGAUCUGCAGGCGUCUACACAUGGCGGCGUGGAGGAUAUGAAAUCAGAACGUAGAAAGUGGAUCACCGAGUCUCACCUCUGUAAGUAUUCUUUUGUUUUUUUUAACAGCUUUAUUCAAACGUAGUUGACAUGCAAAACAAUGUACCCACUUAAAGUAGGUGAUUCAGCGUUGUUAGAUAUACUAACAUUCCCCCAUCUCAGAAUAGGGAACUGAGGCACAGAGGGUUCAUUUUACUCUCCCAGGUAUGUGCAGAUUCUAAGUAGGAUUUGCAUCCAGGCCAUUCUUGGUGACUUGGAUCUGCUGCUUUUCUAUACUGUCUCAUCUAAAGAUAUCUGCCUGCACAAACAGUCCGUUUUAAGUGCAAUGAACCUUGCAGAAUCCUCCUAGAACCCAAAUCUAAUUCAGGUAGAGUUGAAAAGCAGACGGUAAAAACUGGGAUCAAAAGUUUCAUCUGGGAAUAAGUUUUUACUAAUUUCUCUCCUGUCCUCUGCCAGCAACAUGUCUAGCACUGUCUUUAUUAUAAUACAUUUACAAGAAUCUGUAAGAAGUUUGCUCUACCCUGCAGGUCUGCCUAUCUGUUCCAAGGGCUGGACAACAAAAAUACGGAAAUCCCAGAAAAUUUGGCCUGCAGACAAUAAAGGUAGUGUGGAAAUUAAAUCA
Molecule: long non-coding RNA, 881 nt
Filed under: Piliocolobus tephrosceles (Ugandan red Colobus)
Lineage: Eukaryota; Metazoa; Chordata; Mammalia; Primates; Cercopithecidae
Description: lncRNA (ENSPTEG00000005299.1)
Source: RNAcentral